Molecule: ribosomal RNA, 483 nt
Filed under: uncultured bacterium
Lineage: Bacteria
Description: partial 16S ribosomal RNA
Rfam family: Bacterial small subunit ribosomal RNA
Source: RNAcentral
GACGAACGCUGGCGGCGUGCUUAACACAUGCAAGUCGAACGAUGAAGCGGGUGCUUGCACUCGUGGAUUAGUGGCGAACGGGCGAGUAACACGUGAGUAACCUGUCCUUUUCUUUGGGAUAACGGCUGGAAACGGCUGCUAAUACUGGAUAUUCAGGCUGCAUCGCAUGGUGUGGUUUGGAAAGGUUUUUUCUGGGAUUGGGUGGGCUCGCGGCCUAUCAGCUUGUUGGUGGGGUGAUGGCUUACCAAGGCUUUGACGGGUAGCCGGCCUGAGAGGGUGGUCGGUCGCACUGGGACUGAGAUACGGCCCAGACUCCUACGGGAGGCAGCAGUGGGGAAUAUUGCACAAUGGACGAAAGUUUGAUGCAGCGACGCCGCGUGGAGGGUGUAGGCCUUCGGGUUGUGAACUCCUUUGUCUCGCGAAAAAGGCACAGUUUUGGCUGUGUUGAUGGUAGUGGGGGAAGAAGCGCCGGCUAACUACGUG